AUUGAACGCUGGCGGCAGGCUUAACACAUGCAAGUCGAGCGGGGGAAGGUAGCUUGCUACUGGACCUAGCGGCGGACGGGUGAGUAAUGCUUAGGAAUCUGCCUAUUAGUGGGGGACAACAUCUCGAAAGGGAUGCUAAUACCGCAUACGUCCUACGGGAGAAAGCAGGGGAUCUUCGGACCUUGCGCUAAUAGAUGAGCCUAAGUCGGAUUAGCUAGUUGGUGGGGUAAAGGCCUACCAAGGCGACGAUCUGUAGCGGGUCUGAGAGGAUGAUCCGCCACACUGGGACUGAGACACGGCCCAGACUCCUACGGGAGGCAGCAGUGGGGAAUAUUGGACAAUGGGGGGAACCCUGAUCCAGCCAUGCCGCGUGUGUGAAGAAGGCCUUAUGGUUGUAAAGCACUUUAAGCGAGGAGGAGGCUACUUUAGUUAAUACCUAGGGAUAGUAGACGUUACUCGCAGAAUAAGCACCGGCUAACUCUGUGCCAGCCGCCGCCGUAA
Molecule: ribosomal RNA, 501 nt
Filed under: uncultured bacterium
Lineage: Bacteria
Description: partial 16S ribosomal RNA
Rfam family: Bacterial small subunit ribosomal RNA
Source: RNAcentral